CGUUAAAGCUCAUUAAUCCCAUAUGGCAGGACUGGAAGAAGCCACAGUCAGAAGACAGAAUAUACCUACUGCACAAUCUAAAGCAUACAUAUGUCUGAGGCUGUGCUAACACAGCCAAAGAAGCAAGGAAAAUCUAAUAUAUAUAUAUAAAAUAGCUUUAUUAAAAAGGCACAUAAUUUCACAUUCAGUGUCUUUGCAAAAUUUCUUUUAUGUGCAAUUACUGGAAAUUCUCAAAACCGAAUGACAAAAUAUGAACAACAUUCUUCAAAUGCUUCUUAUUUAACACAUCUCCCCGUCAACUAUGAAAGUGCUCAAAGUGCUCAAAAACCUUUAGGUCAAAACUUCAACAUUUUAUUCAAAGUGCUCUGUGUGUACCUACCAGUGAAAUCAAAGUACAUUUAUGCCCCCUCUGAGAUUGACAAUAGAGUACAUUGUUACCAUCUUGAUAGCAAAUGUUUCUAUUUUCUACACUGGUAGAGGAUAUUUUAACUUGAAUAACCUCACAUUAGUGUGCUGAUAUUGCCAAAUACAUAACACGUCAACUUAUUUCAUAAUCAACAUAUGAUCCAUUUAAAAUAAUAGGCAUGAUUCACAGCAUGUUUAAUGCAUGAGGUAAAAUAUACUUUUCUGGAAAUGUAUCAUAAGAUUUCUUUAUUAUAAUACUCCAACCAAGUGUAGACGUAAAUGGGACUGUUAAGGCAUGACAACCAAUCAAAUAAAUGGUUUAAUUUUCUAAAACAUCAGAACUACAGUUCACUUAAAAGCAUGACCUGUGAACAUCUUAAAAUGAAUUAGUUGGCGUUCACUUUCUGCAGGGUUACGGCACUCACAUUAAGGGCAUCCUCACCCGGCAGAAGCUCUCUCAAAAGGAAUGAAAGCAGCAUCUAUUGAAAAUAAAGAGAAGCAAAAGUUGAGCCAAUGUUUCUACCAAACUGUACAAGAAAGUCUAGACACAUUUUUAUGGCAUUUGACAAACAUCAGAGAGCGAGCGCUGCAACACUGAUGAGAGGACAUUGACAUCUCUUCCAGUGCUCGCCACAGAAAGUCAAGAGGCUAAACACUCACAUAGACCAGCUUCUUGUUUUCUUCACAGUCCUGGAAGAGCUUAAACACCGUCUCCAUAUCGGUCUUCUUCAAGAUUAAAUAGUUUGAAUCUAUAAUGGAUAACACGAUGUUAGUAAACUGGGCCAAUUCCCACAUCUCCGUCUUAGAAUGAAAAGCAUAGAAUGAAAAACUCUAGAAGCUGUGUUGAUCAGAGUGAAAAACAGUGUGUAUAUCCUGUACAUCUGGCAUUGAUGAGGUGCUGAGCUCGGUCUUUGGUCUCGUUCUUCUCCUCACUGCUGCGAUGGGGUUUAGGGCUGGUCACCUCUGGCGAGCCCUCGGGCCACUGUUUCUCACAUAGGUUGUCGAUAUAGGAGGCCAUCUGGGCAUCCGUUGGGUUCAUCUUAUUCAAGAAGCUGUUCACUUUCCUAGAGGAGAUUAUAAAAAGUCAUGCUGGGAUUCUCAAAAGGCCAAAUGUAGAUCAUCUUAUUACUCUGUCACUAUGACGAACCAGGAC
This 1558-nucleotide long non-coding RNA is filed under the name Salmo salar (Atlantic salmon). Its description in RNAcentral is "lncRNA (ENSSSAG00000118868.1)". Lineage: Eukaryota; Metazoa; Chordata; Actinopteri; Salmoniformes; Salmonidae. The record is from RNAcentral.